ACAAUGAAGAGUUUGAUCCUGGCUCAGGAUGAACGCUAGCGGCAGGCUUAACACAUGCAAGUCGAGGGGUAACAGAAGAAGCUUGCUUCUUGCUGACGACCGGCGCACGGGUGAGUUACGCGUAUAGAACCUACCUUGUACUGGGGGAUAGCCCGGAGAAAUCCGGAUUAAUACCCCGUAGUCUCUAAUUAUCGCAUGAUAUGUUAGAGUAAAGUUUCGAUGGUAUAAGAUGGCUAUGCGUCCCAUUAGUUAGUAGGUAAGGUAACGGCUUACCUAGGCUAUGAUGGGUAGGGGCCCUGAGAGGGGGAUCCCCCACACUGGUACUGAGACACGGACCAGACUCCUACGGGAGGCAGCAGUGAGGAAUAUUGGACAAUGGGCGAAAGCCUGAUCCAGCCAUGCCGCGUGCAGGAAGACAGCCCUAUGGGUCGUAAACUGCUUUUAUACGGGAAGAAUAAGGGGCACGUGUGCCCUGGUGACGGUACCGUAAGAAUAAGGACCGGCUAAC
Molecule: ribosomal RNA, 508 nt
Filed under: Flavobacteriaceae bacterium
Lineage: Bacteria; Pseudomonadati; Bacteroidota; Flavobacteriia; Flavobacteriales; Flavobacteriaceae
Description: bacterial SSU rRNA
Rfam family: Bacterial small subunit ribosomal RNA
Source: RNAcentral